Molecule: transfer RNA, 76 nt
Filed under: bacterium
Lineage: Bacteria
Also listed under: 1 other name
Description: tRNA-Val
Rfam family: tRNA
About the family: Transfer RNA (tRNA) molecules are approximately 80 nucleotides in length. Their secondary structure includes four short double-helical elements and three loops (D, anti-codon, and T loops).
Source: RNAcentral
GGGCGAAUAGCUCAGUUGGUAGAGCAUCUGCCUUACAAGCAGGGGGUCACAGGUUCGAGUCCUGUUUCGCCCACCA